UACUCAUCAAGAGCGGUGGAGGGAUAGGCCCUAUGAAGCCGCGGCAACCAUUGACAUAUGUCAAAACGGUGCCAAUUCCUUUAGGUUUUACCUAUAAGAUGAGAG
This is a non-coding RNA of Selenomonas ruminantium subsp. lactilytica TAM6421, 105 nucleotides long. NCBI's taxonomy places the organism in Bacteria, Bacillati, Bacillota, Negativicutes, Selenomonadales, Selenomonadaceae. The record is from Rfam.